Molecule: long non-coding RNA, 736 nt
Filed under: Capra hircus (goat)
Lineage: Eukaryota; Metazoa; Chordata; Mammalia; Artiodactyla; Bovidae
Description: lncRNA (ENSCHIG00000007374.1)
Source: RNAcentral
GUGGCCUCUGAAGAUGGACUAAUAUUUAUAGGCAGAGGCGCCCUUUAGUGUCACUGAAUCACCACUCACCUCAUUUCACCGUGGCGUCCCUGCCCACUUCACAGAGCUGCCCCAGGCUGAGGAGGGUAGAAGCCUGAGCUUCUAUCACAGGUCUGGGUUUACCUUAAUCCCUCAGUCACAAUUAUCAUUAGCAGGUUCCAGCAGGCACCACAGAAAUAAUAAGACCAUCCUUCCAGAAUACUGCUCACGAAGGAGCUGAACGCAGGUCAGCAAGACUGGCAACUGAUUAGGAAGGGCAAGCAGUGUCUUUCAGACAGAGGAAGACAAGCCAGGUGGGAGCAAAGAUUUUUCAGAACAGCAGAUUUUCUUCCACUGGGUCUCUCUCACCAAGGACAACAUGGUUAAGCCACUGUCUCUCUCUGAUUCUUAAUUACACAAGUAAUAUUUCAUAUCAGUCAUGCCGUGACAGAAUAUACUUGUGCCCUUUCUGUAAAUUCCUGAUAAAGAUCUUCCAUCUUUGGUUUUGAUUUAUCUCCUGGUUUCUUCCAUGACCCAGGCCACCAGGAAAAUCAAAAUUCAAGCUGAGAGCCAACCAAGAAUUUAAAACCAACUUCUUCAAUUGGACAAGUUUAUGAACAUCAAGCAAAUUAAAACUUUUCUUCAAUUCUUUUAGAUGUACACUUCAUUAAAACUGAGUUUCUUCUACUUUACAUCGUUGAAAUGCUUUUAUAAUUGG